AGAUGGGCAUCUACUUCUCUUUGCAGUCCAAAAGGCAAUAUCACCUCUCUCUGGGGUCGCUUGUCAUCCAAAUCAGGUCUGUAAUUUGGCAGAGGUACUUUACUGAAGACAACAACUCUUGAAUACUGAUGGCUAUGCAAACCCANNNNNNGCCAAUGCUGACAGAUGCUCAAAAUCACGCCUGUCCUUUUUCUCCCUCGAAACGACUUCUUGCUCAUCUUUGUUGCGAAGUAGCAUCGUUAACUUCCAUCUCCAAUCAUCGAUGUUAUCAAGUGUG
RNAcentral lists this unclassified non-coding RNA (277 nucleotides) under Hevea brasiliensis (rubber tree). Lineage: Eukaryota; Viridiplantae; Streptophyta; Magnoliopsida; Malpighiales; Euphorbiaceae. The record is from RNAcentral.